CAGCAGUAGCCGCGGUAAUACGGAGGGUGCAAGCGUUAAUCGGAAUUACAGGGCGUAAAGCGUGCGUAGGUGGUGGUUUAAGUCCGUUGUGAAAGCCCUGGGCACAACCUGGGAAUUGCAGUGGAUACUGGGUCACUAGAGUGUGGUAGAGGAUAGUGGAAUUUCCGGUGUAGCAGUGAAAUGCGUAGAGAUCGGAAGGAACAUCUGUGGCGAAGGCGACUAUCUGGGCCAACACUGACACUGAGGCACGAAAGCGUGGGGAGCAAACAGGAUUAGAUACCCGUGUAGUCCCUGUCUCUUAUAC
Molecule: ribosomal RNA, 304 nt
Filed under: uncultured bacterium
Lineage: Bacteria
Description: partial 16S ribosomal RNA
Rfam family: Bacterial small subunit ribosomal RNA
Source: RNAcentral